Acanthaster planci (crown-of-thorns starfish) is the source of this 2448-nucleotide long non-coding RNA. The record is from RefSeq and is a predicted model, not a curated record. NCBI's taxonomy places the organism in Eukaryota, Metazoa, Echinodermata, Asteroidea, Valvatida, Acanthasteridae.
CAUGCAGCAUCGGAAAAACAUACUUAGUCUUGCACUAUAUAUGUAUUUUAAGAUCUUUUCAACAGGACUGCAAUGUCUUGCAGAUAUUACGGGAGAUUACAGGUUAAUGGGCCAGUUCAGUAUUUCAAAAGCCAAGGUCUCUUGGGAACCAAAUGCGCGCAGGUCAGCGUAUGGCAGCGGUGAUAGGACUUACUAUCGCGCGCGCAUACAUGUUAUUGUACUGAGCAUGCGCUGUUGGAAUACUGAACUGGCUGAUUUUUGGUAAUCUUGGAUGAUUAUUCAAUUUGUAACACAUAGCCAAAAAAAUAGCAUUUCUGAUUUAGGACGACAGAUCCCAUAAUUUGCCACCCUGAUUUCGAUUCGAAUUUCAUUAAAACCACUAACCAGGAAACAACAGGUUCGGCUAAUGACAGAAUGCCCUAUACAAAAAAGGCGGAUAUUACAUAAACCAGUUACAGUCUUGCUCUUAUGAUGGGUUAUUCUGAGCAGACACUUUAACGCAUUCAGCCAUGCUGCAGAAGAGAAAGCCAGGAAGCAAAUGGUGAAAACAGUCGAACAGGGAGCCAGACUGACACUUCGACCGAUUUGUAACGCAAUAGCUCCCCUUGUGUACCCCCAACGACGGUGAAAUUUAAUUCCAGCCACAUCGGAUCAGCAAUCAGUACGGUUUAAUUAAAGGAGACUCGCGGUUUAAACCAAUCACUGCAACUGCUAUCGUAUACCGUGUUCACGAAUCACUUAGGGUCGUGUUCAAAAUUCGGAUGUCACGUCAUCGGCUCUAGCUAUAGGCAGCACAGGCCGGAGCUCAAGGCUUGUUUGUCAGAGAUGUUAAUCGAGAGCUGGUAAUUGAAGAUGAGCUUCGACAUUAAAGGACGACAGUAGUUCCAUCCUGACGGAGCAUCCGACAACACGCGUUGCAGGCCCAUAAAGGUUCUACGCUCAGCAAGUACGUUAUGUAUCUGCGUCUUCAGUCGGCUUCUAGAAUUUUCGUCUGCAGUUCACGUAUUUAUGCCUCAUGCAUUAGGUUGUGGAUUCCAUACAUAAUUCUGCCCAGUUGGAGACAAAUGAAUCAUGGGUUGUGGCUCAAGUCGCGUCGAGAACUCUCGGUUCCGUCAGACAUAUGGGGAACCUAGCGAAUUCGACACCUGUUCUUCUGUGGUGUCUGCGGCACGGGAUACCAGAGGGGAACCAGACGGCAGGGAAGGCCUUUCCUCGCCUGCACCCAAAGAAAUCCUCAACGAAUACAGUAACCGUAUCUCCAAUUUUGCUCCCCGAGAGCGGCUGAGCUCUCUGCCCAGUCGUAAAUCAGCCACGCGCUCUGUUGCCUCUAAGACCAGAUCAAAUCCGAUCCGAACAGACUCCGACUUCAACGAAUUGACAGAGCCGAAAGACAACGAAGACGAUUCGAUGGCAGGCGGAGAUAAUGCGAUGGGAAAGCAGGCAGCAGCUUCGAUUGGAGAUUCUGGGGACUUCCUGACCGCAAGCUAACCUCCCCUGGGUAGCUCACUGUCAAAAGAUCAGUCAAGGCGGUAGGUUCGGACCUUGCACUCUGCAGCUACAUGUACGCGAACUCACUUCGUGAACCAAAGUAUGAACCGUGGUAUGGAGUCACGUUUAACCAGCCAAACCAAGACGACGCUUGCGGUUGAAGGCUUUGACUAAAUUAAGUAUGGAAUUCUGGGAACAGAAAUUCCAUGACUAGGCCUACACUGAACGACUUCGUCGUCCAAAGAAACUUUAAUUUCUGCAGUGCGGUGUGUUAUAAAAAAUCUCUCCAGAACGAACUUUGAAAACGUUGUAAAACAGCUGUUGAUGUUUCACUCAGCCGUUUGCUGGUCUGGAAAUUAUCAGUAUACAGCUCAAUGUCUGCAAAAAGAUGUCUGACUUCUACAGAUCGAUUGACUAUAACAUCGAAUGGUGCGAUAAAUUGCGGCUCAUAAAUUUACAAACGCGUUCACUUUACCCAUCGAUCGCCAUGUUGGUUUCGAUAUUAAGAAACCCGUCAUGUCUUAUCACUUUGUAAUUUCACACGUGUGAACUGCGCCAACGGGUCUUGCACGGAUCGCAUAGUUUAGUAUGUGCAGUAUAAUGCAUUCAGACCUAGAAGACGGAAUACUGUACAGGAGCGAUGGUUGGUUGCGAUGAAAGCUUCAAAUUAAUGUUACACAUCGCCAUUUACAAACACGAGGUAUGCACUUGAUAUUGUAUAGCAUUUGAUGCGCAAUAUGUGGCAAAGGGGGACCCCCUCUAUUGUGUCUUCUUACGUGUUGAUGGAAUCUUUGCAAUUCCUUUCAGAUUUCCGGGGGAGGGGGGCAAUCUUUGAGAUUCGUUUCAGAUUUCCGAGGGGGGGGGUACAGUAGGCACAAUGGCCUUAGGGCAUAGAGCUUUUACAUCACAUGGGGUCCCCCUUUGCCACAUAUUGUGCUGGAUAUAUUGUAUAGCAUCGCC